UCUUCAGCACUGACGGUAUGGACUCAAAUGCUUUUCUCUUUGUUUGCUUUUGUUUGGAAUUAAUUCUCUAAGGGGUGUCUUUGAUUUCCUUGAAAGUAGAUUGUUGAAUUCCUGAUAUAAUCACAAUUGGAAUAUUCUUUUGCGGAAUUGUUGCCACAAACAAAUGCAUAAUACUGAAAAUUUAAUAAAGUAAUUUCUUUUGUAUGCUUUUGAGCUGAUUCAUUAACAUAUAAGUUGAUAUUGUUGAGCUAAGUGGUUUAUUGGGUUGCUUAGGAGAGGUUCCCUACAGAGAAGGA
This 296-nucleotide unclassified non-coding RNA is filed under the name Hevea brasiliensis (rubber tree). The record is from RNAcentral. Lineage: Eukaryota; Viridiplantae; Streptophyta; Magnoliopsida; Malpighiales; Euphorbiaceae.